AAAUUGAAGAGUUUGAUCAUGGCUCAGAUUGAACGCUGGCGGCAGGCCUAACACAUGCAAGUCGAACGGUAACAGGAAGCAGCUUGCUGCUUCGCUGACGAGUGGCGGACGGGUGAGUAAUGUCUGGGAAACUGCCUGAUGGAGGGGGAUAACUACUGGAAACGGUGGCUAAUACCGCAUAACGUCGCAAGACCAAAGAGGGGGACCUUCGGGCCUCUUGCCAUCAGAUGUGCCCAGAUGGGAUUAGCUAGUUGGUGAGGUAACGGCUCACCAAGGCGACGAUCCCUAGCUGGUCUGAGAGGAUGACCAGCCACACUGGAACUGAGACACGGUCCAGACUCCUACGGGAGGCAGCAGUGGGGAAUAUUGCACAAUGGGCGCAAGCCUGAUGCAGCCAUGCCGCGUGUAUGAAGAAGGCCUUCGGGUUGUAAAGUACUUUCAGCGGGGAGGAAGGUGUUGUGGUUAAUAACCACAGCAAUUGACGUUACCCGCAGAAGAAGCACCGGCUAACUCCGUGCCAGCAGCCGCGGUAAUACGGAGGGUGCAAGCGUUAAUCGGAAUUACUGGGCGUAAAGCGCACGCAGGCGGUCUGUCAAGUCGGAUGUGAAAUCCCCGGGCUCAACCUGGGAACUGCAUUCGAAACUGGCAGGCUUGAGUCUUGUAGAGGGGGGUAGAAUUCCAGGUGUAGCGGUGAAAUGCGUAGAGAUCUGGAGGAAUACCGGUGGCGAAGGCGGCCCCCUGGACAAAGACUGACGCUCAGGUGCGAAAGCGUGGGGAGCAAACAGGAUUAGAUACCCUGGUAGUCCACGCCGUAAACGAUGUCUACUUGGAGGUUGUGCCCUUGAGGCGUGGCUUCCGGAGCUAACGCGUUAAGUAGACCGCCUGGGGAGUACGGCCGCAAGGUUAAAACUCAAAUGAAUUGACGGGGGCCCGCACAAGCGGUGGAGCAUGUGGUUUAAUUCGAUGCAACGCGAAGAACCUUACCUGGUCUUGACAUCCACGGAAGUUUUCAGAGAUGAGAAUGUGCCUUCGGGAACCGUG
This 1041-nucleotide ribosomal RNA is filed under the name Salmonella enterica. Its description in RNAcentral is "bacterial SSU rRNA". It matches the Rfam family "Bacterial small subunit ribosomal RNA", at positions 1 to 1031 of the family's 1533-position model. Lineage: Bacteria; Pseudomonadati; Pseudomonadota; Gammaproteobacteria; Enterobacterales; Enterobacteriaceae. The record is from RNAcentral.